CUGCGAUCCACCUACCUUGGCCUUCCAAAGUGCUGGGAUUACAGGCGUGAGCCACCAUGCCCAGCCGCUUCAUCUUUCUUUACUCAUGAGGACUCGGUCAAGACAAUGGUGCCCUCAGGAAGGUUACGAGAGAGCAAGCUGUGCUGCUUUGCCCAUCUUGGGAUGAGAAUCCUGCCUGAGCCCUGCUAUAAAAAUAACCUGCCUGGAAACCUCAUCUCCAAGGGGUAGAAAGAAGCUUUUGUAUCCAGGGAAGCUGCUCUAACUGCCUCCCUGUACCUUCGCCUCAGCCCAUGCAUCAAGGAGGAGCCAGCCAAGGCCAGACCUAUCUCUCCUUGGAGACUGCACAAGCAGGUGAGCAUUAAAGGAAGGCGGGAGGCCAAUUUUUGCCCAGCAUUAGGAAGAACAUUGCUAUUGUUCCAGCAAUGAAGUGAGCUGCCUGAGAGAGUCCGAGCUCUCUGUGGCUGCGAGGCCAGCAGGCCAGGACUUGCAGAGACCACUGGUGCCUAUAGGAGGCACAUGCUGGGCUUGACAAAAGAAAGCCCAACAUUUUAUACCCCUUAAGUCAUCCCCAGCCCAUGCCUUGUUUCCCCAUCCGCACAGUGGUUGGAGCAAGACUAGAUGAAGGCUGAGGUCUUGUCUAGCUCUAACUUUCUAGAAUUCUGGAAUUCCUGAAGGCAGGACUCCAGGCCUCAGGGUCUGGCCAAGAGAACAGAGACGUGGCUGUUUGUCCAGCUUGGUAGAACAGUGGAGCUUAUUGAGCUUGCGGUUCCCUGAAACAGAACCAGUCAAAAGGCAUACGCAGAGAAGGUAAAUUCAUCUGUGGGUCUGGUGAGAGUCACUGAAAAAAAUGUAGUGCUUGAGGACUGUCCAAGGAGAGCCAAUUUUCAACUCAUAGCCUGUGAUGCUGCGCCCAAACAAUGAGAACAGCACACUGGGCUUCAUCCAACCACGGCCAGAGGGAAAACAGUGAUCUUGCAGAUGAUGUCCUCAUCGAUAGCACAGUGACCAAGCGGCCCUGCAUGGUGGGGGCCCCUUAAAAUGGUUCCCCUUCCCUUGCAGGCCUGGUCAGGUGGUGUUUGUAAAGCAAAGGGAACCCUUUUAGA
Molecule: long non-coding RNA, 1103 nt
Filed under: Homo sapiens (human)
Lineage: Eukaryota; Metazoa; Chordata; Mammalia; Primates; Hominidae
Description: HSALNT0367945
Source: RNAcentral